CAAAAUAGAGCUUGAUUAGUUAAGCAUUUCAUUUACACUGAAGCGUUGUCGUGCGAUUCGAUAUAUUUUGA
This 71-nucleotide transfer RNA is filed under the name Siphlonurus aestivalis. RNAcentral's name for it is "tRNA-Val". The record is from RNAcentral. Lineage: Eukaryota; Metazoa; Arthropoda; Insecta; Ephemeroptera; Siphlonuridae.